AUGGGGGUUUCGGCAUUUGACGAGCAGAAGGGCGCGGCGACAUCGGCCGGUGAACGUGAUGAAGCCUUUACGAGGCCCAGCCCCAGCGGCUUCGCCUCUUUCGUCGACAAGCUCCGACGCGACCUGGACAAGAUCGCGGCGGAGGCGACCGACAAGGACGUCCUGCAUGCCCUCGCGGAGCUCAGCGAGGCCGUCCGCAAGAUGGCAACAACGGCGGCCGGGGCCGGCGAGCACGUCUUGUACCACUUGAACUCUGUAGCCACGGGCGACCUCACCCACGAGAUCGACGGGGCCAUCGAGUUGAUGGCAGAGGCGGCCGCGGCAGGCGAAGCAGACUGGGUGAUGGGCACCACGCGGUUGCUCAUGGCGAGCACCGAGGACAUCACCCGCCACCUCACGGAGGCCAUUGACAAAGAGAAAGCAGCGGUGGGCGUGGCCAGCGGUGGAGCGGUCUCGGGCGCCGGCGGGGUUGAAGUCGAAGAACAGGCCGUCGACGGCGAUGCUUCCUUGCAUGAUCGGAUCCAGCAAGAGUUGUACGAGGAGGAGGAGGCCUUCUUGGACGAAUUGGACUACCGCGACAUGGUCUUGGAUGUUGACGAGGCAUUGGAUGAUUUGCGCCUGGAAGCGGCCGGGUGCAGCGUCGGUGACCGUCCACCAACGACAGGGUUUCUUGGUCGAUAUGAAUCACACUGCAAGAUUUCUUGA
This 705-nucleotide ribosomal RNA is filed under the name Triticum aestivum (bread wheat). Its description in RNAcentral is "partial small subunit ribosomal RNA". The record is from RNAcentral. Lineage: Eukaryota; Viridiplantae; Streptophyta; Magnoliopsida; Poales; Poaceae.